GGCGUGCUUAAUACAUGCAAGUCGAACGGUAAGGCCGAGUGCAGCAAUGCACGAGGUACACGAGUGGCGCACGGGUGCGUAACGCGUAUGCAACCUGCCCCCAACCGGGACAAAACAGCUGGAAACGGCUGCUAAUAUCCCAUGGCCACGCGGGAGGGCAUCCUCCUGUGUGUAAAGAUUCAUUGGUUGGGGAUGGGCAUGCGUAUUAUUAGGUAGUUGGCGGGGUAACGGCCCACCAAGCCGACGAUGAUUAGGGGUCCUGAGAGGGUUAACCCCCACACUGGAACUGAGACACGGUCCAGACUCCUACGGGAGGCAGCAGUAGGGAAUAUUGGGCAAUGGGAGCAAUCCUGACCCAGCCAUGCCGCGUGAAGGAAGACGGCCCUAUGGGUUGUAAACUUCUUUUGCCGCAGAGUAAACCUGGGGACGUGUCCCCAGUUGAGAGUAUGCGGCGAAUAAGUAUCGGCUAACUCCGUGCCAGCAGCCGCGGUAAUACGGAGGAUACAAGCGUUAUCCGGAUUUAUUGGGUUUAAAGGGUGCGCAGGCGGACCGCUAAGUCAGGGGUGAAAAGUUGGGGCUCAACUCCAAUCGUGCCUUUGAUACUGGCGGACUAGAGUGCGAUAGGCGUGGCCGGAAUGUGGUGUGUAGCGGUGAAAUGCUUAGAUAUGCCACAGAACACCGAUCGAGAAGUCAGGUCACGAGUUCGCAACUGACGCUCAUGCACGAAAGCGUGGGGAUCAAACAGGAUUAGAUACCCUGGUAGUCACGCCGUAAACGAUGAUCCUCGUUGCCGGCAGUGAUGUUCGUGGC
Molecule: ribosomal RNA, 810 nt
Filed under: uncultured rumen bacterium
Lineage: Bacteria
Description: bacterial SSU rRNA
Rfam family: Bacterial small subunit ribosomal RNA
Source: RNAcentral